CAGUCGCCACGGUAAUACGUAGGUGGCAAGCGUUGUCCGGAAUUAUUGGGCGUAAAGGGCUCGCAGGCGGUUUCUUAAGUCUGAUGUGAAAGCCCCCGGCUCAACCGGGGAGGGUCAUUGGAAACUGGGAAACUUGAGUGCAGAAGAGGAGAGUGGAAUUCCACGUGUAGCGGUGAAAUGCGUAGAGAUGUGGAGGAACACCAGUGGCGAGGGCGACUCUCUGGUCUGUAACUGACGCUGAGGAGCGAAAGCGUGGGGAGCGAACAGGAUUAGAUACCCCUGUAGUCCCUGUCUCUUAUAC
RNAcentral lists this ribosomal RNA (301 nucleotides) under uncultured bacterium. Its description in RNAcentral is "partial 16S ribosomal RNA". It matches the Rfam family "Bacterial small subunit ribosomal RNA", at positions 509 to 807 of the family's 1533-position model. The record is from RNAcentral.